Molecule: long non-coding RNA, 1067 nt
Filed under: Ursus americanus (American black bear)
Lineage: Eukaryota; Metazoa; Chordata; Mammalia; Carnivora; Ursidae
Description: lncRNA (ENSUAMG00000013293.1)
Source: RNAcentral
GACACAAGAACCAGACUAGGUCCCAGCUCUCAUUGGUCAUGCCCUGGUAGGGGACAUACAGAGGCCAGGCGUGGUCCCCGCCCUCAGGGGCCAAAGUCGGCUGGGGGAGACACAGCGACCAGGCUGGGUUCCACUGCAGGGGUCAGGGUCUAGCAUUUUUCAACAGAAAGCUAUUCCCUCCCUCGUAGUCCUGGAAACUGCAGGACAAAAGACAGAAAACUAAUCAGAACUACAGCCCUCAGGUUCAGCGUGUGGAAAGCCAGACCCUUCCUGAAAUCGCAUAAGGCCACCAACCUGCGAGAAAAAGAAGAAAGCGGAAGGCAGUGCUCUUGCACGCAGUUCUAAACAGGAAAACGAGGGUCAAAUACAGAGACCACCAAUUAGAAUUAGAGGCCUCUGGGCCAGCUGCCCAAUGAGAAGGCAGAUCUUCUGUCGUCCGGACAACCGCACGGUAGCAGGGGGUCUCGCGCAGGCGCGCAGGGCAAUUAGUGAGUUCCCGGACCAGUCUUCAAUCCUAAUGCCCGAACCCGCAAGGAAACUAAAUACGACAGGCAGAUCACAUCUUGCACACUGUGCGUCUGCCCUCUCCCUCGGCGCCCAGAACUCCUCAGCGGUCAUCUCCACCUCUCCCGACUUAAAGUCAGAAGAACUAGUCAAAACCCAGGCUCUUCCGCCUUGCUGGCCAAUUGGCACCAAGACCCUUAGUCUCCGUGUGCCAACUGUAAAGAGCCAACCCGAAUUCCGUAACUCUAAGCCAGCAGGCGCCCCAGGCCGCGCAGUCAGUCAGAACCCAGACUUAUCCCAGACCUUCCUAUCCAAUUAGAACCCACAAGCUUCAGUCCUAAGGACCAAUAAGCACGAACUCUUCAUCUGUCUUGCUUUCCCCCUCUCUGUCCUAGUCAGAAUAACCAAUCAGAAAACCAGUCAGUUUUGCAGCCAGCUAGUAUCAGGUCCCCCCCUCCACAUCCAACUAUCCAGUCUAUCCUGGCUCCACUCAAAUCAAGCUGUACAGCCCUCCAGCUCUUCAGCCAACCCUGAACAAUAAUAAAUUAACCAUGAACCGAUCA